Molecule: long non-coding RNA, 623 nt
Filed under: Olea europaea subsp. europaea
Lineage: Eukaryota; Viridiplantae; Streptophyta; Magnoliopsida; Lamiales; Oleaceae
Source: RNAcentral
UGAAUUUUCUAGGUUGAGUUGUGCACUUGCUCUUUGGUCUGAAAUUUCUUCAUUCUUUGCCCUUUAUUGCAAAAACAUGUUCUUCAUCUGUUUUAAUGGUUGAUCUUUAAAUCCAAAAAAAAUUAUCAACUUCCCCUAACACAAGUUCAUCGACCGCAGUCCCCCAACAGAUUUUGUAAGGUUUGAUCAAGACAUCCACUCGCUGGGAAAAAGCAGUUACACGUAUAUGAAACCAUGGACUUCUGGGAACAAAUAAAAAAUCCUGGGUGAGCCAAAGAUGUUGAGUUCUCCUUCCUCAACUACCUCAUAUGUCUCUGGAAAUUUUCAUCUAAGUGAGGAUUUCUAUUUUGCAGAAUGUGUCUGAAAAGAUCUGGCUUGUAUCUUGCACAGUUUAGAUUCACCUCAGCCCAUCUGUUAGCAAGUGGAGAAGGCACAAAGAAUGCUACAAUCUCUGGUGAUGUUUAUAUACAUCCAUCAGCAAAGUUCAUCGAGCUGCAAAGGUAGAAUUGAUGUUGACACGUCAUUUGUUCUGUAUUCUUGUUGCUUAAUUUUUCGAUAAUUAUGUGAUGUAAUUAUUCUUAGAUCUUAUAUGUAUACCGGAUAAACCUCGUUCAUAAAAGACA